RNAcentral lists this ribosomal RNA (30 nucleotides) under Gymnema stramineum. Its description in RNAcentral is "Marsdenia straminea partial large subunit ribosomal RNA". The record is from RNAcentral. Lineage: Eukaryota; Viridiplantae; Streptophyta; Magnoliopsida; Gentianales; Apocynaceae.
GAUCGCCACGACCGCGACCCCAGGUCAGGC